GACGAACGCUGGCGGCGUGCUUAACACAUGCAAGUCGAACGGAAAGGCCUGCUUUCCCUUGUGUAUUGCGGGUACUCGAGCGGCGAACGGGUGAGUAACACGUGAGUUAUCUGCCCCCAACUUGGGUCGAAGCCUGGGAUACUGGGUUUAAUCCUCGAUCGGACUGCAGGGUGGUGCCGGUGGUGGAACACGACUUGCUAGUGGUAGCGGAUGAGCUCGCGGCCUAUCAGCGUGUUGGUGGGGCAAUGGCCCACCAAGGCGGCGACGGGUAGCCGGCCUGAGAGGGUGGACGGCCGCAUUGGGACUGGGUUACGGCCCAGACUCCUGCGAGCGGCAGCGAUUGGGAGUCUAGGGGCGUAAGCGGGAGCCUGAUGCAGCGACUCCGUGUAGAAGAUGUCGGCCUUCGGGUUGUAAUCUGCUGUCGAACGAGAGGAGGCCACCUGGUUGGAGGGGUGGUGACGGUAGUGGUAGAAGAAGCACCGGCUAACUUCGUG
Molecule: ribosomal RNA, 494 nt
Filed under: uncultured bacterium
Lineage: Bacteria
Description: partial 16S ribosomal RNA
Rfam family: Bacterial small subunit ribosomal RNA
Source: RNAcentral